UGGGGAAUAUUGCACAAUGGGCGCAAGCCUGAUGCAGCGACGCCGCGUGGGGGAUGACGGCCUUCGGGUUGUAAACUCCUUUCGCCAGGGACGAAGCGUUUUGUGACGGUACCUGGAGAAGAAGCACCGGCUAACUACGUGCCAGCAGCCGCGGUAAUACGUAGGGUGCGAGCGUUGUCCGGAAUUACUGGGCGUAAAGAGCUCGUAGGUGGUUUGUCACGUCGUCUGUGAAAUUCCACAGCUUAACUGUGGGCGUGCAGGCGAUACGGGCUGACUUGAGUACUGUAGGGGUAACUGGAAUUCCUGGUGUAGCGGUGAAAUGCGCAGAUAUCAGGAGGAACACCGAUGGCGAAGGCAGGUUACUGGGCAGUUACUGACGCUGAGGAGCGAAAGCAUGGGUAGCAAACAGGAUUAGAUACCCUGGUAGUCCAUGCCGUAAACGGUGGGCGCUAGGUGUAGGGACCUUUUGGGGUUUCUGUGCCGUAGCUAACGCAUUAAGCGCCCCGCCUGGGGAGUACGGCCGCAAGGCUA
Molecule: ribosomal RNA, 531 nt
Filed under: uncultured bacterium
Lineage: Bacteria
Description: bacterial SSU rRNA
Rfam family: Bacterial small subunit ribosomal RNA
Source: RNAcentral